RNAcentral lists this ribosomal RNA (491 nucleotides) under uncultured bacterium. RNAcentral describes it as "partial 16S ribosomal RNA". It matches the Rfam family "Bacterial small subunit ribosomal RNA", at positions 29 to 507 of the family's 1533-position model. The record is from RNAcentral.
AGUGAACGCUGGCGGUAGGCCUAACACAUGCAAGUCGAACGGCAGCACAGUAAGAGCUUGCUCUUACGGGUGGCGAGUGGCGGACGGGUGAGGAAUACAUCGGAAUCUACUUUUUCGUGGGGGAUAACGUAGGGAAACUUACGCUAAUACCGCAUACGACCUACGGGUGAAAGCAGGGGAUCUUCGGACCUUGCGCGAUUGAACGAGCCGAUGUCGGAUUAGCUAGUUGGCGGGGUAAAGGCCCACCAAGGCGACGAUCCGUAGCUGGUCUGAGAGGAUGAUCAGCCACACUGGAACUGAGACACGGUCCAGACUCCUACGGGAGGCAGCAGUGGGGAAUAUUGGACAAUGGGCGCAAGCCUGAUCCAGCCAUACCGCGUGGGUGAAGAAGGCCUUCGGGUUGUAAAGCCCUUUGUUGGGAAAGAAAAGCAGCAGGUUAAUACCCCGCUGUUCUGACGGUACCCAAAGAAUAAGCACCGGCUAACUUCGUG